Molecule: ribosomal RNA, 364 nt
Filed under: uncultured bacterium
Lineage: Bacteria
Description: partial 16S ribosomal RNA
Rfam family: Bacterial small subunit ribosomal RNA
Source: RNAcentral
GGUAGCCGGCCUGAGAGGGCGACCGGCCACACUGGGACUGAGACACGGCCCAGACUCCUACGGGAGGCAGCAGUGGGGAAUAUUGGGCAAUGGANGAAACUCUGACCCAGCGACGCCGCGUGCGGGAUGAAGGCCUUCGGGUUGUAAACCGCUUUCAGYAGGGAAGAAGCGAAAGUGACGGUACCUNCANAAGAAGCACCGGCUAACUAUGUGCCAGCAGCCGCGGUAAUACAUAGGGUGCAAGCGUUGUCCGGAAUUAUUGGGCGUAAAGAGCUCGUAGGUSGUUNGUNACGUCGGAUGUGAAAAYCUGNGGCUCAACCNCAGNCCUGCAUUCGAUACGGGCNANCUAGAGUKUGGUAGGGGA